Molecule: long non-coding RNA, 415 nt
Organism: Rhododendron vialii
Lineage: Eukaryota; Viridiplantae; Streptophyta; Magnoliopsida; Ericales; Ericaceae
Exons: 3
Source: RefSeq, a predicted model, not a curated record
UUCUUCAUUGAUACAUGUAGAGAGAGAGAGAGAGAGAGAGAGAGAGAGAGGGACGGCAGGAGGAAGAAGAGAAGAAUAGGGGAAAACUUAGAGAAGAUUUAGUUAGCCUUGAAUUGAAGUUUAAUUAGGUAACGAGCUGAGUAAUCGGGAGGUGCCAAAACCAUAAGUUGGCAUACUUCGGUCGACUCACAGAUAGCAGGGGUUCGUAGGAUGAUCCACUACCGGUCGGCGUUUUGGGGUUGGCUUUAAGGUUGUUGUUUGUGUCGGUGGUGGUGAAUCGUCUUGUACAUAUUAUCAACUCGUUUUGUAGCAAUGAUGUAUUACACUUUAGUAUGCCAAGUAUGUAAUGGUAUGGGUUUGAUGUCGACUCUUUUGUUAAUAUUAAUGUUAAGUCUUCCGCUGGUUUAUUCUGAGU